Molecule: unclassified non-coding RNA, 286 nt
Filed under: Hevea brasiliensis (rubber tree)
Lineage: Eukaryota; Viridiplantae; Streptophyta; Magnoliopsida; Malpighiales; Euphorbiaceae
Source: RNAcentral
CAGGUUCCACAUCUGCUGCAGGUUGUUAAGAGAAGAAGGAUAAGAAGUAAUCUUAGUCGUAAGAACAUAUUAUUUUGGGACAACUAUACUUGUCAGUAUUGCUCUUCAUGUGAGAACUUGACCAUUGACCAUGUUCUACCAACUGCACAAGGAGGAGAAUGGACAUGGGAAAAUCUGGUUACUGCUUGUGCCAAAUGCAACUCAAAGAAAGGUCAGAAAACUAUAGAAGAGGCAAAUAUGAAGCUGAUUAAGGUCCCCAAGGCCCCAAAAGACUUUAACAUACUCG